Molecule: long non-coding RNA, 2409 nt
Organism: Mesocricetus auratus (golden hamster)
Lineage: Eukaryota; Metazoa; Chordata; Mammalia; Rodentia; Cricetidae
Exons: 3
Source: RefSeq, a predicted model, not a curated record
CGGCGGGGGGAAUCACGAGGCCGCUGCUCGCGGGGGCAGCUGGUCCGCGGAGCGGUGGGGCUCCUUUGCAGGUGUCUGACCGCCUCUGGAGCUUUAUAGGGCGGUCAUAAAUCCAGCUCACGGGUUUUCGAUCAGAAGGGCGGGGGGGGGGGGGGCAAAGUCCUAUGAGUAAUCCAGAACGUACUCAGCACGCUCUGUUUUCUAUUUUAUUUUAAUUUUUGAGAUGGGCAAUGUUGGGUGAGAGCAGGGGAACGAUAAUUCCUACGGAGGGUUCUGACUCACUGGGCGCUUCUUCUCCUCUUUGCCCCCCUCCUUCCCGUUUCCUGGAGAAGACUAGCAUAGUCUUUGCUGAUGCUGGUCGGCUGGAGCUAAGACAUCAGCGGUGAUUAAGAAGAGACCAGCAUCACCUUAGUCCCUUUCCUGUGACUGCCCCAGGAUCCACGACCCUCCACAGGGUUUUCUAUGAGUGAUGCUCUGUAUUGAGCCAGGGUUACCGGAAAGGCAAAACAGAGACCGAGAGGAGGGGGGCCACCCAGAUCAUGGAGUUUCCUCACCCCAGUUUCUUCUCCCAGUUAGAGGCAUCCCCAAAGCCACCUCGUUGGAACACAGCUACCUGGCACCACCGGAGGAAAGGGGCCUCAUCUCUCUCUCUCUCUCUAAGCCCUCUCCUUUGAGGAAGGGGACCGGGAGCUUCGUGAUUGAUCACGUCUGAAGGCGUUUAAAGAUUCUCUCAGCGAUGUGUAAGCGCCCUGCUGAGUUGGGUGAAGUCCCCCCUGACAGAAAAAGGCGGUAACUGGAAAAUUUCCACCAGAGGGCGCCAAACACCCAGAGACCCUGCGCUGGCUGCGGGUUUUUCCUGGUGCGCCCCAGACAACACCUGGAGACGCCCGCCGAGCUCUGUAACUCGAUGGCCUUUUCAAGCCUUCCCGCAGCUGUCUCCUGGCUCCCCCUUGCUCUCCCUCCGUUCCUUACUCUUUGGGGGUAAAACAAACCUGACCUUUGGGUGUGUCUGGGUGACGGGGGGGGGGUAGUACUCCGUGAUCGCGUUUACUCGUUUUCAUAGUGAUUUCCCUCACAUUGCUGUCGAACAGACAGGGGCUCCCGAUGGUUUACUCCAGGCCUGUCCCUUUUCUGUGACUGUCCUAUCAGUUUUCACCACCAAGCAACGGAAACAUCAAAAAUUGUACGAAUCACCAAGAUUUCCGUGAGGGUGCUCUCAGAGUCAGCACUGGGAGAUACCGCGUGUUCAACAAAAGAGACUGAAAUAAUAGCGUUGCUCCCGCUGCCAAAGAAAAUACUGCUGUUUCCUCUCUGCCUCACAGGAAAAGAAAAGUCCCCGCACUUUUUAAAGAUGAAAAGCACCCGAAGGGUGGAUUGAAUCGUAACUGAUGUCCCACCAAGCCACAGCUCCCGGAUAGGGUGCAGUGACACCAAUCAGGACGCUGGGUGCCACUGCUUAAUCACUCGAGAUCCACUGGCCGGAAGAGAGGAAGCAGCAAACCCUCCUGAGCCUAGCCGGCUACAAUUCUGCUGAGGUGCGGGCCUUCCUCCGUCCCCCCAGUCUUCCCCCAAGACUCCCUGUAACAACAGAGCGAGCCUUCGCCUCACCUGUGGCACUAGAUGGGGUAAUUUUCAGCCAUGUCUGUCUUUGACCACAGAAUGCAAAGACCUCACUUCCAGCGCUUUAGCAAAAACAACCAUGUUGGAAAGAAACGAGUAUAUAUAUAUUUUUUUACAGCAGUAGACACCGCACAUUAAACCAGGCCGGGUCUGUCUUUGAGGUGCACCGCUUCCUCUACUCUUUGUGACGGGGAGGAAAAGAAUGAAGGCCCCUGCUUGUCUUUAGUGUAAAAGCAUGUGAAUAGCAGCGAUCCAUUGAAUGGGUGCUAGCGACCUUCUGAUUUGUGUUAUCUUUGCACUCGUGAGGAUGGUAUCCCGGUGAGCCAGGGAGAAAGGUAGACUGAUGGGCUCACGACUGAGUAAAUCUCCGAUUUUCUCCUGCUGCAACUCAAGAUUCUUGAAAACGGAGGGCCUGGAGAUCCACGCAGUUCUGGAGCAUCGAGUUUUGAGGCCCGGGACACACUUCAGCACCGAGGACAGCGCCCGCCGUUAGGGCCUAGCCAGGGUUUUCCCUGCCAGUGCUCGGCCAGCCCCCUGCCUCUGCCCCAGGCUGGGCCCCACCUUUAUCCCUCUCUGUCGUUUGUUUUGCCUGGCGGGGGAUUGUGCAGUGGUGAAUGUCUCCCACUCCUUUCUUCUCCUCCUAGAAUUGGACGGAUGACAGCUGCCCUUGUAGUUUGACUAUUUUUUAUUUGUGGUUUUCACUCUUUUUAUCUUACUACUCCCAAGGGGUGAUGUUUACAAGAAUGAGGGUGGAGGGGAAUAAAAGGACUUCCUCUCCAAGGACUUGAA